Hypomesus transpacificus is the source of this 2065-nucleotide RNA transcript. RefSeq lists it as uncharacterized. The transcript is spliced from 4 exons. NCBI's taxonomy places the organism in Eukaryota, Metazoa, Chordata, Actinopteri, Osmeriformes, Osmeridae. The record is from RefSeq and is a predicted model, not a curated record.
UCUUAAGUCACGUGAAUCUUCGUCACAGUAGGAGCUGCCUCUUGCGGAAGUCCGCCAUUUUGUCUGCAGCUGUGUUUCGUCUGUCUGCCGUUGUUGUGUAAAUUAUCAGUUUUCCACCGCCAAAAUGGCGAAACUGUAUGUAUUUAGAGAAUUCAUCGGUGAGAUAUUAUCAACGGCAGCUUUAGAGAUUUUCGGAGUGGUUGAAAAAACGCUUAUCGAGUACAACGAAGAAGUCUCUCGUUCCGAGGAGGAGAGAAAGCGGCUACAUCGGCUGUUGAACGUUGUUACUCAACCCAAUAUUGCAGCUCCUCUGUCCCCAGAAGUGCAGCAGCUCUCUCUCCCGGAGCCCCCACAGAUUAAAGAGGAACAGGAGCUGUGGACCAGUCAGGAGGAGGAGCAGCUUCAAGGACUGCAGUCUGAAACUACAGACUUCAUACACACCAGGCAGCCAGAGUUUUCAAAUUUGAUAAUGUCCAAAUUACAUAUGAUAAGAGAAUUCUUCAGUGAACGACUAACAACGGCAGCUUCAGAGAUUUUGGGGGCCGUUGAAAUAACAUUUACUGAGUACAAAGAAGAGAUCUCUCAUUUCAAGGAGGAGAGCGUGCGGAUACAACGGCUGUUUGACAUUGUUGCUCAACCUGAGAUCAAGCUACACCGAACAGAUGUGCAGCAGCUCUCUCUCCCGGAGCCCCCACAGAUUAAAAAGAAACAGGAGCUGUGGACCAGUCAGGAGGAAGAGCAGCUCCAAGGACUGCAGUCUGAAACUACAGGCUCCAUCUUCACUUCUCUCAGUGUGAAACGUGAUUCUGCUCUGGAGAGCUCCUUUGAAUGUUCACAUGUUGACCAGACUGUUAAAGUGGAGGACAGAGAAGGAGAUUCUCUACCCACCAACACAACUGAGGAGCAAAUCAAAGCAGAGCCUCCUGUACAAGACUCUGCAGCACUAGAACCAGGCAGUGACUCUCAGCCCCUCUCUGUUGUAUUUCCAGACUGUCCUGCAGCUCAGAGUUUGGAGGAACAUGGAGGAGUGCUGCCCUUGCGAGAGACAAUCAAUUCAACAAUAACACAAGUACAUUCAGCUGUGCCAGGGGGAAAAUUGCCACAGGCAAGUCCCACAGGAGUGAAAGUACAUCAGUGUCAAGAAUGUAGUAAACUCUUUUCUCAAAGUGGUACACUGGCUAGACAUAUGAGGACUCACACAAGAGAGAAAUUGUAUCCAUGUCAGGAAUGUAAGAAAGCCUUUACUUCCAAACUGCAACUGGUGGAACACAUAAGAACACACACUGGAGAGAAACCUUACCAGUGUCAAGAAUGUAAAAAAUGCUUUACUCAAAAUGGUAGUCUGGUUAAACAUAUGAGGACACACUCAGGAGAGAAAUCUUAUAAAUGUCAUUAUUGCGAGAACAGAUUUAGCCGGAAGGAUCAUAUGGUUGAACACAUGAGGAAACACACAGGAGAAAAACCUUACCAGUGUCAGGAAUGUAAACAAUUCUUUGCUCAACAUGGUAGUCUGGUUAAACACAGAAGGACACACACAGGAGAGAAACCAUAUCCGUGUCAACAAUGUAAUAGGAGAUUUAGCCAGAAAUCCACUCUUGGGAAACACAUGAGUAUACACAGGAGCUCACCCAGAUCAGGGACUGGAGUGCAGUAACAGCUAUAGUUACAAGUCAAAUCUUAUUGGUCAUAUGUGAAAACUAAACUAGGGUUGGUGUCAACGACGUGUAAAACAUGUUCCUCAUUCGGGUAGUUUUGGCGAUGACACACAUAGAGAUGAAACUGUCAAAUCUUGUUAAAGUUUGACUUAGUUUCAAAAAUGAAACCAAAUUCAGGCAGCAUUGAACAGAUCCCAGGCACUGUUUGGGACUUCAGCGAUAAUUGAAUUUGGAGUCGGACUGAAACUGGAGUUAGCGCCCGUAAACGCCAUUCGCUUUUCAAUUAACCUGUCAACAUUAUCACAAAUGUAACCAGCACAGCGACAAUAUGCAUUUGUGUAUACAUUUAAUUUAUUAUGUUUAUUAUUUGGGCUAAUUUGUGUCAAAUAAAUAAACUGUUCUGAACCUGA